This 72-nucleotide transfer RNA is filed under the name Ochthebius nr. difficilis IBE RA126. Its description in RNAcentral is "transfer RNA-Leu". Lineage: Eukaryota; Metazoa; Arthropoda; Insecta; Coleoptera; Hydraenidae. The record is from RNAcentral.
UAUUGUUAUUUUGGCAGAUUAGUGCAUUAAAUUUAGAAUUUAAUUAUGUAAUUUUUUUUUUACAAAUAAUAC